This is an RNA transcript of Hyla sarda, 1108 nucleotides long. It is a transcript of the gene named nucleoside-triphosphatase, cancer-related, with no coding region annotated. The transcript is spliced from 8 exons. The record is from RefSeq and is a predicted model, not a curated record. Lineage: Eukaryota; Metazoa; Chordata; Amphibia; Anura; Hylidae.
GGCACAAGAUCAAACAGUCCUACUCUGAGUAUGAACGUAACGAAGGAUCUGAUCACAUGGUUAUGACAUCAUCAAAGGUCCUUCAGUUUAACACAUAAUCAGCAAGUGUGCUCAGUAGCUGUACUGCUGGGUGUUACAUAGCUCUUGCUUACGACUUACCAAGCAGCUGGGUCUUUAUUCUGCAAACAAUCUUUAUUGGUAACAAUCGAGUGAACAGUGUGAAAGAAUGCACAGGCAUGUGUUUCUAACUGGACCUCCAGGUAUCGGAAAGACCACUUUAAUUCAAAAGGUCUCUGAAGUGUUAACAACAUUUAAAGUUCAUGUUGAUGGAUUUUAUACAGAAGAAGUCCGGCUGGGGCAGAGAAGAGUAGGAUUCGAUGUUGUUACCAUGUCAGGACAGCGAGGAAAAUUGGCAAGAAUUAGCUCUGAUGUAAAAAAUGAGAAUUCCAAAUACAGAGUUGGUCAGUAUUUUGUGGAUAUUGUUUCAUUUGAACAAUUAGUACUCCCUCUCAUGGACCGCUUUUGCAUGGUCCCCACCUCGACCUUCAUCCACAGAAAUAUAUGGGAAGUUGUGGUACUCUUCAUUCUCACCUGCAAUAUGAGGUCAACUCCAGACACAAGGGUGAGAUCUGUCUGCGUUAUUGAUGAAAUUGGAAAAAUGGAGCUAUUUAGCAAACCAUUUAUUUUAGACAUCGGUAAGAUCUUGAAUAACCCAUCUAAUGUGGUGCUUGGUACUUUGCCAGUAUCCAGUGGGAGACUUCUACCAUUUGUUGAAGAAGUAAGAUGUCGCCAGGAUGUUAAACUGUUUAAUGACUUGCCAUUGCUAUGACAACCUCCCCUGCUCUGUGCCUUCAACUGAGCUACUGAAGAGCAUAGAAAAAAGGAAUGUAUCUAAUCCUGUUUUAAAGCUGUUAAUUGUUCCUGCUGUGACCAGUUCCUGAGGUAGACCGUUCCAUAAAUUCACAGUCCUCACGGUCACAAGAGAGAAUAGAGAUCAGGUACUGCAUGAAAUAGUGACCACCAUUCAAGAAGCAUUGAAAAAUACAAAUACAGAUUAAAAAGGGUGAAAUGAUUUACUAGUUAUUGCUCAAUGACACCUUAAAUAAAC